UAUUAGCCCAGAUAGUAACGGCAUCCUUUUCUUUGUUUCUUUAACAAAGAAAAGAUAGAGUGGAUAGCUGGAAAUAGC
Small RNA from Flavobacterium sp. KMS, 78 nucleotides. It matches the Rfam family "Flavo-1 RNA". NCBI's taxonomy places the organism in Bacteria, Pseudomonadati, Bacteroidota, Flavobacteriia, Flavobacteriales, Flavobacteriaceae. The record is from Rfam.